Molecule: ribosomal RNA, 253 nt
Filed under: uncultured bacterium
Lineage: Bacteria
Description: partial 16S ribosomal RNA
Rfam family: Bacterial small subunit ribosomal RNA
Source: RNAcentral
UACGGAGGAUGCAAGCGUUGUCCGGAAUCAUUGGGCGUAAAGGGUCCUGAGGUGGUUUGCUCAGUCCACUGUGAAAGUUCAGGGCUUACCCUUGAAAAUGCGGUGGAAACUAGUAGGCUAGAGUACGGUGGGGGCAGAGGGAAUUCCCGAUGUAGCGGUGAAAUGCAUAGAUAUCGGGAAGAACACCGACGGCGAAGGCACUCUGCUGGGCCGACACUGACACUGAAAGACGAAAGCCAGGGGAGCGAAUGGG